Molecule: ribosomal RNA, 439 nt
Filed under: uncultured bacterium
Lineage: Bacteria
Description: partial 16S ribosomal RNA
Rfam family: Bacterial small subunit ribosomal RNA
Source: RNAcentral
CCUACGGGGGCAGCAGUGGGGGAUAUUGCACAAUGGGGGGAACCCUGAUUCAGCGACGCCGCGUGGGUGAAGAAGCGCCUCGGCGCGUAAAGCCCUGUCAGCAGGGAAGAAAAUGACGGUACCUGAAGAAGAAGCCCCGGCUGACUACGGGCCAGCAGCGGCGGUCAUCCGUAGGGGGCAAGCGUUAUCCGGAUUUACUGGGUUUAAAGGGGGCGCAGGCGGCGAUGCAAGCCAGGCGGGAAAGCCCGGGGACCAACCCCGGGACUGCUCUUGGAACUGCGUGGCUGGAGUGCAGGAGGGGCAGGCGGAAUGCCUGGUGUAGCGGUGAAAUGCGUAGAUAUCAGGAGGAACACCGGUGGCGAAGGCGGCCUGCGGGACUGCAACUGACGUUGAGGCCCGAAAGCGUGGGGAGCAAACAGGAUUAGAUACCCUUGUAGUC